Arabidopsis thaliana (thale cress) is the source of this 218-nucleotide long non-coding RNA. RefSeq annotates it as other RNA. Lineage: Eukaryota; Viridiplantae; Streptophyta; Magnoliopsida; Brassicales; Brassicaceae. The record is from RefSeq. The transcript has a single exon.
AGGGGACAAAACAGAGAAUGACUUCUCUCCUACGGUUUGUUCUCACAAGUAACACCAAGUCCACACAUGACAAACAAGCUCCAAGUGCAGGUGUUACAUACAACAAACACUUCUCAAUGUAGCUUUUCUAAUAAAGAAAAUCAAAUGAGGACGAAUCAGUUCUUUUUUUUUACCAAAACCAAAGUAGAAAAUUAGGCUUACUCUUACCCUUCUGUUAC